RNAcentral lists this ribosomal RNA (497 nucleotides) under uncultured bacterium. Its description in RNAcentral is "partial 16S ribosomal RNA". It matches the Rfam family "Bacterial small subunit ribosomal RNA", at positions 28 to 507 of the family's 1533-position model. The record is from RNAcentral.
GAUGAACGCUGGCGGCGUGCCUAAUACAUGCAAGUCGAGCGAACGGACGAGAAGCUUGCUUCUCUGAUGUUAGCGGCGGACGGGUGAGUAACACGUGGAUAACCUACCUAUAAGACUGGGAUAACUUCGGGAAACCGGAGCUAAUACCGGAUAAUAUUUUGAACCGCAUGGUUCAAAAGUGAAAGACGGUCUUGCUGUCACUUAUAGAUGGAUCCGCGCUGCAUUAGCUAGUUGGUAAGGUAACGGCUUACCAAGGCAACGAUGCAUAGCCGACCUGAGAGGGUGAUCGGCCACACGGGAACUGAGACACGGUCCAGACUCCUACGGGAGGCAGCAGUAGGGAAUCUUCCGCAAUGGGCGAAAGCCUGACGGAGCAACGCCGCGUGAGUGAUGAAGGUCUUCGGAUCGUAAAACUCUGUUAUUAGGGAAGAACAUAUGUGUAAGUAACUGUGCACAUCUUGACGGUACCUAAUCGGAAAGCCACGGCUAACUACGUG